RNAcentral lists this unclassified non-coding RNA (3656 nucleotides) under Leishmania donovani. RNAcentral describes it as "gene:LdHU3.31.2840(CDS-product:Leucine_Rich_repea t_putative)". Lineage: Eukaryota; Euglenozoa; Kinetoplastea; Trypanosomatida; Trypanosomatidae. The record is from RNAcentral.
GCUGGCGCUUUGUCCAUGAGUUGCGUGUCUGUGGACGCACUGGCGCUUAUUUCUGAGCACCUUCCCGGCCAAACCGGAGCCUGGGUCAGCUCUUCGCCUCAGGCACGUAGGUCAAGGGAGAGGUCGUCGCAUGGGCUACAUCUUUCGUUCAAUUGGUUCAAGGAUGCAGCUCCUUCCUCCUUGCAGCGAGGCAGGCGACCACAGCUGCGAUGCGAAAUCAACGACGUCCAAGGUAUGCGACUGUGCCGCUGGUGGCUGCUGAGGUGCUCCGGUGCUUCUCGACCCGCACCGAGCACCGCCUGUGUAGCUGAAGCCACCCCUCUGUCAGGAACUGUUCGGCUGCGUCCGCCACCCAAGCUUUCCCAGUACAUGGAGUGCCCUUUGCGGGUGUGCUGCUGGGGAAACCGUCAUGCAUCUGCGGCGAUGAAGAACGGGACCGUCAGCACCAUCGAUAUACCACGGCUGAACUGCUCUCUAGGGGAGUUGCUUUCCUUGGGCCGCAUCGAGUGCGUGGAAAUCAACGGCUCAGCUCUCUCCCCUACACCGCCGGAGUGGUUGUCGUGCCUGGCCGUCGCGCGCGGGGUCGAGAAGCUCAGUAUCAAGGCAGCCACGCUGCCCUUGAACGAGCUUCUGUCGUUUCUGUACAGCAGCGCUGCUACCCUGCGGGUGGUGGAGAUUGCUGGGAUAGCCUUGCCGCGGCUUCAGAUGUUCGCUCUCGCAUCUAGAAUCGAGGAACUGGUUCUGGGCAACGUGACAGUGCACCCUCACUCUGUUGUGGCGAUUGGCAAUGCAGAGGGACAGGGGAACGGGCGGCUACCACCGCCAUCGAAUCGGGUCCCACUUUCCGACCUAGCCUCCCUGCAGAAACUGCGCAGGCUGGACAUGACGAACUGCAAGGGUGACUUUGACUGCGCAGGGAUCGCUCGAUGCUGUUUCUUACGCUCUGUGCAUUUGAGCGGCUGCAACGUCAAGGACGCGGAUGUACCACACCUCGCUCAGUUGCCAUGCGUGGAGGAGCUGCUCCUUUCGAGGACGCGCAUCACCAACGUCCAGGCCCUCGCGGCUGGCAAAGGGCUACGGAUCAUUCAGCUCUCAAAUGCACAGGUCGACUCAGAUGGGAUAGACGGGCUUCAAACGCUGCCCUAACUGACCCGACUUGAUUUAUCCUCCACGCUCGUGAGCGACGUCAACUUCUUGGGGCAGAGCCAGAGCCUCAUCUACUUGAAUCUCGCCAAGACCCAUGUGACGAGCGAGGGCAUCGCUGGCCUGUCACGUCUGCUGACUCUCGAGCACUUGAUGCUGAACAACAACAACAUUCGUGACGUCUCCUUUCUGGCAGAAUCCCACUCCCUAAAGACACUCUCGCUGCAGAGCACCUUGGUGGACUCUGCCGGCUUGGAAGGGUUUGGGAGACUUCAAACAUUGCAAGAUUUGUCGUUGGCACACACCCGUGUCACAAGCGUCACGGAGUUACAGCACUGCCACAAUCUGUGGAGGCUUGACCUACAAGGCUCGUUUGUCGAUCAGGCCGGGAUCGCCGGUCUCGAGCGACUUCCGAAGCUGCGCAUUCUUCUGCUGUCGAAGACGGACGUGGCCUCGCUGGAGCUGAUUUUGAAAAGCGAGUCCCUUGAGCAGCUCGAGGUCAAGUUCAGUCACGUGAAUGAGAAGAGCGCCUUCUUCGGUGUGACAAAGGCGUCGGCGCUGACAGAUGUGACGUUGACGCACUGCGACGUCUCCGAUAUCAACAAUUUGGGUAUGUGCAAGGAGCUGCGGCUGCUCAACGUGUGGUCGUCCAAGGUAACUUCGGAGGGUAUUGCUGGGCUGUGCGAGGCCAGGUCGCUGCAAGAGGUUGAUCUUGCCGAGACCGCGGUGACAGACAUCAGCCCUCUCCUGAGUUGCACGAAAAUACAGGCUCUAAUCUUGUACAGGUCUUCAGUGAGAUCCCUCGACGGAAUAGGGGCACUUCGGCAGCUUCGCCGCCUCGACAUCGCUGAGACGCCUGUGUCGUCAAUACGGAGCUUGUCGGCUUGCCAGAGCUUGGAAAUCUUGAACCUUUCCAACACGGCCGUCGACGAUGAUGGGUUUCAAGGUAUUGGGCAAGUGCAGUCCCUCAGAGUGGUGUCGAUGUCGUUCACUGCCAUAACUCAGCUUGGACAGCUUGGACAGUGCUCCCAUCUUGAGGAGCUGCAUGCCCAAUCGUGCCCAGUGACCUCGGAGGGCCUCGUCGGUCUCGAGAGGGCCUGCUGCCUCGUCAAGCUGAACCUCUCGUACACAAAGCUACAAAGCGGCAUUCAGCGUUUAACCAACUGCCGCAAGUUACUGAAGCUCAACGUCAAGUUCACCGAGGUGCCGUAUGAUGAGGUUGCCUACGUCAAGCGCCACCUUCCCGGUUGUCGCGUGAUGAAUGAUGCGGCGCAGCGCAUGGCGAAGGACGUGACCUUGCUGAAAUAGUGACGUGAGAGACUCUGACACGUAGCCGCCGUGCACGCAUCAAAUCGGCCACCUGUGAUUUUUUUCGAUUUCUGUGACUUUCAUUCUAUUACCCUGACGGCAAGGGGACACCUCAGCGCAUGGCAUCUCAGGGUCCAGUGCACACCCACUCUGUGCAUUUGUGUGGGGGAGGGAGCCGAGCCGCCCCUCUAUCCCCUGCUGAUGCUGCACCGCUUCUGGCCGUAGCAGGUCAGGCACCUACCUACGCAGAGGGGGGUCGGAGCAACGCAUGCCCCCACUGAUGCCGGCAGUGAGGCCGCGGACGGCGUUGUGUGGGAGAGAUCUUCGACAGUGGACACGUUUGCGCCACCCAUGUGAUGGGCAGGGUGUCAGCGUGACGCCAGCGUACCUCAGCCGCCCCUCGCUGCCCACUGGUGGGGAGCCUGGGCCACUCCGGGGGCGCGCCAGGUGGCAACCCGCAUUUUGCGAGCGGCUGGGAAGCGGGUGGGUGGGCGGGGCUUGGGGCAGGGGCCGUGCUGUGGUGGCUGGGCCAGCGUUGCUUUUGGGCGUUUCUAGCGCUGCUUUGCGCCACGCGAUCGGGCCUGUGGCAGUCCUUGCGGAGUGGAUGCCACCCUAUUUAUUAUGGAAAAAUGAACACAUUGAAAAAAAACAUUUUCCUAUUAUUACUGUGUCUCCUUCAUGAUUGCCUUUUAUGCAGACUAGGGAGUAAGUGACGCACAUGCAGCACACAUCAAACGCUUCCGAACUAAAGUGCGGAGAAGAAAGGGCAUACGAGGAUAGCUCUUCUCGAUCUUUUUUUUGUUCGUAUUCCUCUGUGAGGAUCAGGCUUUCUUUUUUUUUAUUGUAGUUUGUUUUCUCGUCACUAGCAAGGGAGUGUGGGGAAGACGCCAGUUGAUAGAGACUUACCGGAUCACUGCGAUAGUUGGCAUAAGAAGGGUUGUAGUGCCGUACAUAAUCAUUUCAGUAGUUUGGAUUGAACGCAUAUGUCCAUGACUCCCGUCCCUCCUCCUUUUCGUCUGUUCUCUCUCUGUUUUGCCUCUUUUCUUUCCCGGUGCCUUGGACUUUUUGUCUCGGAAAGGCACUCAUUUCUCUUUUUGCUGCUUUUUCCUGUUCUCUUUUUUUUUCGUUCUAAACAUCCUCGUGGAAAAGGCGAUGGAUGCGGCAAACCUCUUUGAGCUUUUCUUUGUGGGUGUAUCGACCGAAAC